Molecule: RNA transcript, 2727 nt
Organism: Scophthalmus maximus (turbot)
Lineage: Eukaryota; Metazoa; Chordata; Actinopteri; Pleuronectiformes; Scophthalmidae
Gene name: heterogeneous nuclear ribonucleoprotein D0
Exons: 8
Source: RefSeq, a predicted model, not a curated record
AAGCUGAAGAAGACCGAGGUAACGGUGAAAACAAACUACUACAAAAUAUCCGCACCUUGCAAAAUCGUAGUUAGUGAUACUAUUUUUGCCUUACCGAAACACAUUUAGCCAGAUUUCAUACCACCAAUAUCCUCCGAUUCACUUAAACACACCCGCUGCUUUGCUCCAAUCGACGUCAAUAUUUUUAGCCAACGCUAUAUAAUAUCAAAAAUAUUGGCUAGCCUAGCCACCAGCUAUCGUUAGCUCGCAGCUAACUUAGCUCUCGUCGGGAGUCUCGACGCGGCCUCGGCUCCGGAGCGGUUCAGCGGCGAGACUAGUGGAUUGCAAGAUGUCAGACGAUUAUGAGUUCGCCGACGACGCGGCCAUGAUGAGGAUGGAGGAGGACGGGGAGGCGAACAGCGACGACCCGAUGUCGGCGGCUGGCGACGGUGGCCCGCUGGGGGGCGAGGCCGAGGGAUCCCGAAUUGACGCCAGUAAAAACGAGGAGGACGAAGGGAAGAUGUUCGUCGGAGGGCUGAGCUGGGACACGACCAAGAAGGAUCUGAAAGAUUACUUCUCGAAGUUCGGGGAGGUCGUGGACUGCACAUUGAAGCUGGACCCCAUGACUGGGCGCUCGAGGGGUUUCGGCUUCGUGCUCUUCAAAGACCCAGACAGCGUUGACACGGUUGUCUCGCAAAAGGAACAUAAACUCAACGGGAAGGUCAUCGACCCCAAAAAAGCCAAGGCGAUGAAGAGCAAGGAGCCAGUGAAGAAGAUAUUUGUCGGCGGCCUCUCUCCAGACACUCCUGAGGAGAAAGUCAGAGAGUACUUUGGUGCCUUCGGAGAGGUGGAGUCAAUUGAACUGCCCAUGGAGACCAAAACAAACAAAAGGAGAGGCUUCUGCUUCAUCACAUUCAAAGAGGAGGAACCAGUCAAGACGAUCAUGGAGAAAAAGUACCACAACAUCGGACUGAGCAAGUGUGAAGUAAAGCCGGCAAUGUCUAAGGAACAAUACCAGCAGCAGCAGUACUGGGGAGGAGGCAGAGGUGGCUACUCCUCCAGGUCUCGAGGAAGAGGUGGUGGUCCCAAUCAAAAUUGGAACCAGGGUUACGGCAACUACUGGAAUCAAGGCUAUGGCAAUUAUGGCAAUUAUGGUUACAAUAAUCAAGGAUAUGGAGGAUAUGGCGGCUAUGAUUACCCCGAUUACAACAGCUACUAUGGAUACGGUGACUACGACAGUUUCUUUGUGCCACACUCGUAGAUCAAUCUGCUGGAUAUGGCAAGUCGCCACGGCGUGGUGGUCACACCAACAGUUACAAGCCAUAUUAAAGGGGGAAACCCUCGUCGUCAAGUAGCGGAGCUUCCUUGCAGGCCAUGAGCUGACUCCCAGAUACUCUCAGGGCCCGCUCAAUGCGGACUGGGUACGAGAAGCAUACGCUCUCGAAUGCUGCCAUUUGGUAUGGUCUUACAACAUCCUGUAUCCGCAUUUCUGAACUGAACAAUAUGGGACACGUCCAGCUUUGUCAUCUUUCUUUCUAUUUUAAUUUCUUUGCAACUGUAUGUCAUGUAAAAGUAAAAAAAUAUACACAUGUAAUUGUCAUUUUUUACAGGCCCUUACUCCCCCACAAGUAAUGAUUAUUAAUAUGAGAAAAUAACUAUUUGCUUUUCAAAGGAUAUGUACAGCAUUCUCUGGACUUUCCAGUUUCCAUUGUUGCUAGAUGAAUUUCUAAUCUUAAUCUAAAAUGCUUGUUUCUUUAUUUAGCCUGUAGUCCAUGAGCUAAAACCUGGUUCGUAUUUGGACUCUACCGUGUUGGGGGAUAAAGUGCUUUACUUUGUGUACAUGUAUUGUUCUGUUUUGUUUUACUGACAGCGAUGGAAAAGACUCCUCUUUUCUCAAUUUUUCCUGUAACAAAUUUUCUCUUAUAACCUUUUGUAAAACAAGAAGUGUCACUACAUUUCCAGUAAUUUGCAUGUAAUGCUGUCUUUUAAUGUGUAUUAUUGACCAGUCAAAGGUUUCUUCCAUUUAGUAUCUUUGGCUUCUUCAAUUUAUCACGCCUCAGGAUUUCUAGCUUAUGGACUAACUUAUUUUUAAAACUGUAAAAUGUUAAAUUAAUUGUUCUCAGAUUGUUUUUUCUUAAUUGUUUUUUUUUUUUUUUUACAUUGGACAUUUUAAACACCGGGAUUCCUAUUUUAUUGUAAUAGUGACAGUGUUUUGAUUGUCUAUAGCUGAUUUGUUUUUGUUUGUUUCCCAUAGGUGUCACAGUGAUGAAAGACUGCAGUGCACAGGUGAAGCAUUGGCCAAAGAGAUGGCGGUUUCCAGCAAAGGUCACUUAGCUGAUUGUUAGACUAUAAAUGAAGAACAUUAUGACUACAGUACAUUUCCUCUAUAUAUUUACCAGAGUAUUUGUUGUAUCUUAAAAGUUUUUGCAUUUUAGUGUUUUGCAGUUAUUUAGAUUGUUUUAGCACUUCCUUGUCCCUUCCCGUUUUCGUAUUUAAUGUUUUCAGUAGCUCUUUGUGAAUUGCUUGAUUUAUUGCAUAACUGAAACUUUAGACUGGUUGGAGCAUAUGACAUAUAAUCAAGUACUGUGACAGCAAAGAUACAAAAUGCGUUAUAAUUUAUCCUCUUUAUCAUAGUCAUCAGUCAUAUAAUACAUUAUGUUAUUACAGAGUUUGACAGUCAUAAACAUACAGUAUAUGUACACAGUGUAUUGGCAAAAGAAAUGCAACAAAUAAAAAACAAUAAACACA